CAUGCAAGUCGAGCGGAGCACUUCGGUGCUUAGCGGCGGACGGGUGAGUAACACGUAGGCAACCUGCCUGUAAGAUCGGGAUAACUACCGGAAACGGUAGCUAAGACCGGAUAGCUGGUUUCGGUGCAUGCCGGAAUCAUGAAACACGGGGCAACCUGUGGCUUACGGAUGGGCCUGCGGCGCAUUAGCUAGUUGGCGGGGUAACGGCCCACCAAGGCGACGAUGCGUAGCCGACCUGAGAGGGUGAUCGGCCACACUGGGACUGAGACACGGCCCAGACUCCUACGGGAGGCAGCAGUAGGGAAUCUUCCGCAAUGGGCGCAAGCCUGACGGAGCAACGCCGCGUGAGUGAUGAAGGUUUUCGGAUCGUAAAGCUCUGUUGCCAGGGAAGAAUGUCGUGGAGAGUAACUGCUCUGCGAAUGACGGUACCUGAGAAGAAAGCCCCGGCUAACUACGUGCCAGCAGCCGCGGUAAUACGUAGGGGGCAAGCGUUGUCCGGAAUUAUUGGGCGUAAAGCGCGCGCAGGCGGUCUUUUAUUUCUGGUGUUUAAGCCCGGGGCUCAGCCCCGGUUCGCACCGGAAUCUGGGAAUAUUUGAUUGCA
RNAcentral lists this ribosomal RNA (601 nucleotides) under Paenibacillus mucilaginosus. Its description in RNAcentral is "bacterial SSU rRNA". It matches the Rfam family "Bacterial small subunit ribosomal RNA", at positions 54 to 650 of the family's 1533-position model. The record is from RNAcentral. Lineage: Bacteria; Bacillati; Bacillota; Bacilli; Caryophanales; Paenibacillaceae.